This 361-nucleotide long non-coding RNA is filed under the name Salvia miltiorrhiza (redroot sage). Its description in RNAcentral is "long non-coding RNA (SMIL_LNC013857)". Lineage: Eukaryota; Viridiplantae; Streptophyta; Magnoliopsida; Lamiales; Lamiaceae. The record is from RNAcentral.
GAUCUCCUCUCCCUCUGCCGCUACAGUCGCCACCACUGCACCUCAUUUCUUCCUCCUCCCUGAACCACCGGAGGUCCAACAAGAUUAUCGACGUCGUCACGAUUUUCACCAUCAAAAACCUCAUCUCCCUCUCUAUUUCAACGGCGAGCGGCGAGAAUCGCCGCCGCCCCCUUCUCUUUCAGUCUGACAGUAGCGACCAUCAAUUAUCAACAUCGCCGCGACGAACCACCAUCACCACCACCUCUGAUUCUCCCUGAGUCGCUCUCUCUUCUCCCCCUGAACAGGCCAAACGACCUAGAUUCUAAGCAUCGUCGCUGUCCCAGACGUCCUGCCCGACUACUCGCCGGAGCCCACAACCAGC